Molecule: long non-coding RNA, 252 nt
Organism: Dermochelys coriacea (leatherback sea turtle)
Lineage: Eukaryota; Metazoa; Chordata; Testudines; Dermochelyidae
Exons: 3
Source: RefSeq, a predicted model, not a curated record
AACAGUGACACUCGGUGGCCACUCAGGGUAGUGCACAACCAAUUUCCCUCAUGGAGCAACGGUGACACUGGGUGGCCACUCAGGGUAAUGCAGAAAGCAUUCCCCUUAUGGAGCAACAGUGACACUCCGUGGCCAUUCAGGGUAAUGCACCAACCAUUUCCCUCAUGGAGCAACAGUGACACUGGGUGGCCACGCAGGGUAAUGCACCAACAAUUUCCCUCACAGAGCAACAGUGACACCAGCUGGCCAAUC